UGAGCAAUCUGCCCUUCUCUUCGGAAUAAGCGUUGGAAACGACGUCUAAUGCCGAAUACGACCUCCUUUCGCAUGAUCGGAGGUGGAAAGCUCCGGCGGAGAAGGAUGAGCUCGCGGCCUAUCAGCUAGUUGGUGUGGGUAAUGGCCCACCAAGGCGACGACGGGUAGCCGGCCUGAGGAGGGUGACCCGGCCACACUGGGACUGAGACACGGCCCAGACCUCCGUACGGGAGGNAGCG
This 239-nucleotide ribosomal RNA is filed under the name uncultured bacterium. Its description in RNAcentral is "partial 16S ribosomal RNA". It matches the Rfam family "Bacterial small subunit ribosomal RNA", at positions 118 to 353 of the family's 1533-position model. The record is from RNAcentral.